Long non-coding RNA from Asterias rubens (European starfish), 293 nucleotides. RefSeq lists it as uncharacterized. NCBI's taxonomy places the organism in Eukaryota, Metazoa, Echinodermata, Asteroidea, Forcipulatida, Asteriidae. The record is from RefSeq and is a predicted model, not a curated record. The transcript is spliced from 3 exons.
GAGACCUCCCCUUUUCCGACCCGAUCCCUCCUCGGGGCAGCUCCGUUGAGCCCACCAUAUUGCUGUUCGAAGUGAUGUGGGUGACUUCAGGAGGGUUGGGUAUCAGUCAUCCUGCAAAGUCAUCAUUCCGUGCAACACGUCAUAUUGAUUUUCGCAGGUAAGCAAUUUUCAUAGAGUUAAACAAAAGGUAAGUCAUUCCUUGAAUUAAAUUAAACUUGUGAAGGAAACUUUUCUAAUUUGUGAUUUUCAUCUUCCAGAUGACAACCCUCUGAUUCACUUUUUACAAAAUAGGA